Molecule: ribosomal RNA, 433 nt
Filed under: uncultured bacterium
Lineage: Bacteria
Description: partial 16S ribosomal RNA
Rfam family: Bacterial small subunit ribosomal RNA
Source: RNAcentral
AACGAACGCUGGCGGCAUGCCUAACACAUGCAAGUCGAACGAGACCUUCGGGUCUAGUUGCGCACGGGUGCGUAACGCGUGGGAACCUGCCCUUAGGUUCGGAAUAACUCCCCGAAAGGGGUGCUAAUACCGGAUAAUGUCUUCGGACCAAAGAUUUAUCGCCUUUGGAUGGGCCCGCGUUGGAUUAGCUAGUUGGUAGGGUAAAAGCCUAUCAAGGCGACGAUCCAUAGCUGGUCUGAGAGGAUGAUCAGCCACACUGGGACUGAGACACGGCCCAGAAUCCUACGGGAGGCAGCAGUGGGGAAUAUUGGACAAUGGGCGAAAGCCUGAUCCAGCAAUGCCGCGUGAGUGAUGAAGGCCUUAGGGUUGUAAAGCUCUUUUACCCGGGAUGAUAAUGACAGUACCGGGAGAAUAAGCUCCGGCUAACUCCGUG